This 88-nucleotide transfer RNA is filed under the name Candidatus Saccharimonadota bacterium. RNAcentral's name for it is "tRNA-Ser". It matches the Rfam family "tRNA". Rfam says of the family: Transfer RNA (tRNA) molecules are approximately 80 nucleotides in length. Their secondary structure includes four short double-helical elements and three loops (D, anti-codon, and T loops). The record is from RNAcentral. Lineage: Bacteria; Candidatus Saccharimonadota.
GGAGAUGUGGCCGAGUGGUUGAAGGCGCACGACUCGAAAUCGUGUGGGCCGAAAGGUCUCGGGGGUUCGAAUCCCUUCAUCUCCGCCA